CUCGUAGGCGGCCAACUAAGUCAGACGUGAAAUCCCUCGGCUUAACCGGGGAACUGCGUCUGAUACUGGAUGGCUUGAGUUUGGGAGAGGGAUGCGGAAUUCCAGGUGUAGCGGUGAAAUGCGUAGAUAUCUGGAGGAACACCGGUGGCGAAGGCGGCAUCCUGGACCAACACUGACGCUGAGGAGCGAAAGCCAGGGGAGCAAACG
Molecule: ribosomal RNA, 207 nt
Filed under: uncultured bacterium
Lineage: Bacteria
Description: partial 16S ribosomal RNA
Rfam family: Bacterial small subunit ribosomal RNA
Source: RNAcentral